This 2254-nucleotide ribosomal RNA is filed under the name Listeria monocytogenes. RNAcentral describes it as "partial 23S ribosomal RNA". It matches the Rfam family "Bacterial large subunit ribosomal RNA", at positions 625 to 2873 of the family's 2925-position model. The record is from RNAcentral. Lineage: Bacteria; Bacillati; Bacillota; Bacilli; Caryophanales; Listeriaceae.
GAGUUACGAUUUGUUGCAAGGUUAAGCGGAAAAAGCGGAGCCGUAGCGAAAGCGAGUCUGAAUAGGGCGCAUAAGUAACAGGUCGUAGACCCGAAACCAGGUGAUCUACCCAUGUCCAGGAUGAAGGUAAGGUAAUACUUACUGGAGGUCCGAACCCACGCACGUUGAAAAGUGCGGGGAUGAGGUGUGGGUAGCGGAGAAAUUCCAAUCGAACUUGGAGAUAGCUGGUUCUCUCCGAAAUAGCUUUAGGGCUAGCCUCGAGGUAAAGAGUCAUGGAGGUAGAGCACUGUUUGGACUAGGGGCCCUUCUCGGGUUACCGAAUUCAGAUAAACUCCGAAUGCCAUGUACUUAUACUCGGGAGUCAGACUGCGAGUGAUAAGAUCCGUAGUCGAAAGGGAAACAGCCCAGACCACCAGUUAAGGUCCCCAAAUAUAUGUUAAGUGGAAAAGGAUGUGGGGUUGCUUAGACAACCAGGAUGUUGGCUUAGAAGCAGCCACCAUUGAAAGAGUGCGUAAUAGCUCACUGGUCGAGUGACCCCGCGCCGAAAAUGUACCGGGGCUAAACAUAUUACCGAAACUGUGGAUGAACCUCUUUAGAGGUUCGUGGUAGGAGAGCGUUCUAAGGGCGGUGAAGUCAGACCGGAAGGACUGGUGGAGCGCUUAGAAGUGAGAAUGCCGGUAUGAGUAGCGAAAGAAGGGUGAGAAUCCCUUCCACCGAAUAUCUAAGGUUUCCUGAGGAAGGCUCGUCCGCUCAGGGUUAGUCGGGACCUAAGCCGAGGCCGAUAGGCGUAGGCGAUGGACAACAGGUAGAGAUUCCUGUACCAGUGCUAAUUGUUUAACCGAUGGGGUGACACAGAAGGAUAGGGAAUCGCACGAAUGGAAAUGUGCGUCCAAGCAGUGAGUGUGAGAAGUAGGCAAAUCCGCUUCUCGCGAAGCAUGAGCUGUGAUGGGGAAGGAAAUUAAGUACGGAAGUUCCUGAUUUCACGCUGUCAAGAAAAGCCUCUAGGAAGAGUAGUACUGCCCGUACCGCAAACCGACACAGGUAGAUGAGGAGAGAAUCCUAAGGUGAGCGAGAGAACUCUCGUUAAGGAACUCGGCAAAAUGACCCCGUAACUUCGGGAGAAGGGGUGCUCUAUUAGGGUGCAAGCCCGAGAGAGCCGCAGUGAAUAGGCCCAGGCGACUGUUUAGCAAAAACACAGGUCUCUGCAAAACCGUAAGGUGACGUAUAGGGGCUGACGCCUGCCCGGUGCUGGAAGGUUAAGAGGAGUGCUUAGCUUCGGCGAAGGUACGAAUUGAAGCCCCAGUAAACGGCGGCCGUAACUAUAACGGUCCUAAGGUAGCGAAAUUCCUUGUCGGGUAAGUUCCGACCCGCACGAAAGGCGCAACGAUCUGGGCACUGUCUCAACGAGAGACUCGGUGAAAUUAUAGUACCUGUGAAGAUGCAGGUUACCCGCGACAGGACGGAAAGACCCCGUGGAGCUUUACUGCAACCUGAUAUGGAAUGUUUGUACCGCUUGUACAGGAUAGGUAGGAGCCGAAGAGACGUGUGCGCUAGCAUACGAGGAGGCAAUGGUGGGAUACUACCCUGGCUGUAUGACCAUUCUAACCCGCCACGCUUAGCGCGUGGGGAGACAGUGUCAGGUGGGCAGUUUGACUGGGGCGGUCGCCUCCUAAAGAGUAACGGAGGCGCCCAAAGGUUCCCUCAGAAUGGAUGGAAAUCAUUCGCAGAGUGUAAAGGCACAAGGGAGCUUGACUGCGAGACUGACAAGUCGAGCAGGGACGAAAGUCGGGCUUAGUGAUCCGGUGGUUCCGCAUGGAAGGGCCAUCGCUCAACGGAUAAAAGCUACCCCGGGGAUAACAGGCUUAUCUCCCCCAAGAGUCCACAUCGACGGGGAGGUUUGGCACCUCGAUGUCGGCUCGUCGCAUCCUGGGGCUGUAGUCGGUCCCAAGGGUUGGGCUGUUCGCCCAUUAAAGCGGCACGCGAGCUGGGUUCAGAACGUCGUGAGACAGUUCGGUCCCUAUCCGUCGCGGGCGCAGGAAAUUUGAGAGGAGCUGUCCUUAGUACGAGAGGACCGGGAUGGACACACCGCUGGUGUACCAGUUGUUCCGCCAGGAGCAUCGCUGGGUAGCUAUGUGUGGCAGGGAUAAACGCUGAAAGCAUCUAAGCGUGAAGCCCCCCUCAAGAUGAGAUUUCCCAUUUCUUCGGAAAGUAAGAUCCCUGAAAGAUGAUCAGGUAGAUAGGUUUGGAGUGGAAG